AACGAACGCUGGCGGCAUGCUUAACACAUGCAAGUCGAACGUGAUCCUUGCCUUCGGGCGGGGUGAAAGUGGCGGACGGGUGAGUAACGCGUGGGAACCUGCCUGGUGGUUGGGGAUAACUGCGGGAAACUGCAGCUAAUACCCGAUGCGCCCCUGGAGCGAUCCGGGGGAAAGAUUGAUCGCCAUCGGAGGGGCCCGCGUCGGAUUAGGUAGUUGGUGGGGUAACGGCCUACCAAGCCUUCGANCCGUAGCUGGUCUGAGAGGAUGAUCAGCCACACUGGGACUGAGAUACGGCCCAGACUCCUACGGGAGGCAGCAGUGGGGAAUAUUGGACAAUGGGCGCAAGCCUGAUCCAGCAAUG
This 361-nucleotide ribosomal RNA is filed under the name uncultured bacterium. RNAcentral describes it as "bacterial SSU rRNA". It matches the Rfam family "Bacterial small subunit ribosomal RNA", at positions 29 to 396 of the family's 1533-position model. The record is from RNAcentral.